RNAcentral lists this long non-coding RNA (662 nucleotides) under Monodelphis domestica (gray short-tailed opossum). RNAcentral describes it as "lncRNA (ENSMODG00000034404.2)". The record is from RNAcentral. Lineage: Eukaryota; Metazoa; Chordata; Mammalia; Didelphimorphia; Didelphidae.
CUUAGGAUGACAGGAUUUCAAAUGAGAAGGGGACUUUUAGAUAUCACAUGUUACCUGUGGAGAAACUGAGGCUCAGAGAACCUACAUGGCAUGUCCAACACCAUAUAAGUAUGAAGGAGCAGAUUGAGAGACACUUACAUCCUAGAGCAUGGGAGUCGAGUUUUCAGUCAUAUUUGAAUGCCCAAAGUCACUGUCAUCAUCCUUGGAUUAAGGGAAGACCUCCAAAAGAGGAGUGAGAGUAUUCCAGACCAACAUUUACCUCCUCCCCGACUCUGCCUGGUCCAACAUCUCCAAGUCUUUCCCCCUCACCCACUCCAUGAGCUACAAGGUGAGAGGAACCAUUCCCUUGGUAACAUUCUGUUCUCCUGGGCAACAGCAUGUCUAAUCCUAGGCUCUCUGCACCCAGCCUCAUAUCCCCAGAAGAAGUUGGAGGAAGAGGGUCCCCAGUCCAAAAGCGCAGGAGAAGGAAUGAACUUACAGGAGAAUGUCACCGUGGCCAUGGCAGUGGUCACCAUCUUAGCCUCCAUUUACUUCUUCCAUAAGGCCCAGAAAUAAGAAGACCUUGGGACCCUCAGACCUGAAGGCUACAAUCCUGCCUUGAAUAAUCACCCUGGACUCUUGGACUAAAUAAAUGUGACGGGCUCAUCCCGCCUGGUUCCUUC